GGGCAUAGUGAAUAUGCUGCAUGGUCAAAUUGGUUUGUAUAAGUGGAAACUGACUGUAUGUGAGAACACCAUUCUGCAGACAUGUUUGGUGGCAUUUGAACUUCUAAAUAAGAGUUAAGCAAGCUUCCCUGAUUCUUCUGCCUUCAUUUGGAAACCUAUCAUCGGAAACAUCGAACUGGAAGAAAUGUCGCAAUUUUGAGGUCACUCCCUCCAGGAAACCUUCUUGAUCCCCCAAGACUGGAUCAGGUGUCUCUGAGAUGUUCACACAGUGUCUUCUAUUUCCUCUAGCAAGGCAUGGCAGGUGUCUUCCUAUGUUCACAUGCAAUGUAUACUAGCAAUAAGUAUCUAAUAAAUGUUUGUUUAGUGAGGAAUAUUGAGUUGAGCCACUAUGAUUUCCCUAAGGAAAUGCAGAGCUUGCUAUUCAAGAUUAUGGUUUACCAUGUGGUCAAGCUGCAUGUGGUACCUGGAGAGAAGCAGAUGAGAACUGAAGCUAAAUAUUCCUGCCUCAAUAUGCAUAGCCCAAAUUUUCUUAUGCAACUUGAUUUGGAGCAUAGUUUUUCUGGGUGCUCUCAUCCUCUAUCUCCAUGUGGAGACCUUCACCCUCACAAGAUGAGGCCCUUUGACUUUGGACUUCAGUCUCCAGAACUAAUCCAUCUGCUGAGCUGUGAGAAAUCCACACAAGAAGAAAGCACGUGUAGGAGCUCCUGUUGGCAGCUCCAGCUGAGUCAUAGUUGACCACCGUUAUCUACUGCCAGCCUUGGAUGACCAGCCCAGUCAAGGCUGCCUGUGGCUAUUGGACUGCAACCACAUAAGAAACACCAGUCAUAGAGUUAAUAAUAAAUUGUUGUUUUAAGCCACUGAGUUGUGGGAUAGUUUAUUAUAUAUGAUAGAACAACCUUAUAAGCAAAUUACACGGUGGUUUAUACAAACAUGUUUACAUAAAGAUGCAGUAUGUGUUACAUGAAACCUCAAAAUGUUAGAGUUUAUACCCUUAAUAGGCCCAAGUUCUGUUUUUCAUUUCGAUGGGAUCAGGUUUCAAAAAUAUAGUGAAUGUAUGGUGUUAGAUUUGAGAGAGAAUUGAAAUACAGCAUUUUGGAACUGUAAGCUUCACAUACAUUCAUCCAUUCAUUUAAAUGUUGAUUAUGUACAUAUGCAAAGCAAUAUACCAGGUGCUGUGGGGGAUAAAGGGAUGAAUCAGAAAGCUACUAAUAUUAGCAUUUCGGAAGCCCCUCCCUUCUCUCCCUGAAGACAAUAAAACAUAGUAAUCAAAUUUCCUGCCGGGUUUUCAUUUGGCAUUUUCUCUCUUUCAUAGUUUUGAUCAUUUUUUCAUGUGAUUAGUUUCUUUGAGUGUUUGAAAGUGUAAAAAAUCAACAUAAAGAAGAAUUCACAUCAACGAAUGGAUAAAAUAGCCAGUUAACAUCAAGUGGCAGUAACCCUAAAUUUAAAUCGACUAAAUCCCCCAAUCAAAAGAUAUAGCCAAAACCUAAUGGUAUAUUCAAAGAUACACAAAGACUCAAAACAAGGGGUUGGAGAAAAAUUUACCAACCAAAUGGAGAGUAAAAAUAAAUAAAUAAACAAAAAGCAGGAGUUGCAAUUCUCACAUUUGAUAAAAUAGAUUUCAAAGCAACAAAGAUACAGUGGUAAAAGGAUCAAUGCAACAAUAAGAGAUCUUAAUACCCAGAUACAUAAGACCCAUAACGAGAUUUAGACUCAACAAGACAGAAAAUUAAUAAGGAUAUCCAGGACUUCAACUCAGAUCCGGAACAAGUAAACUCAAUAAAUAUUUAUAGAGUUCUCCAUUUUAAAUACACAAAAUAUUGAUCGGCCAUUAUUAAUACCCAUUUUUAGAAUGAAGCAAUAUUCCUGUUCUCUCCCUUUUUUUCUUCCUCUUUCUUCCUCUCCUUCUCUCCUUUUUUUACUUUUCAACAUCCUAGUUCCUCAUCUCUACUCAAUACAUUCCUCUGAACACCUGAUUCCUUGUGAUUCUCCCAUCCCACUGAAACCUCCAAUCCAUUAAAAAAAAAAAAAAUCCCCCAAAUAAUAAUUAAGUUUUCCACAUAUAUGUUAGAAAAUCAUUUAAUUUACUAAUCCAUUUAAUAUAAACAGAUUUUUUCAUUGACUUUAAACCAGGCAUUCAAGAUCAACUUUGGUCUGACCAAAAUAUAUAUCUACAUAUCAGAAUAGGUGCCAGAAUUUAUAGGGAUUCUUUUAAAGUAUUUUCAUCUUGACCAGGAUUCUCAAUCUUGACACUAGCGACAUUUUAGGACCAACAGUUACUUGCUGUAGGUAGCUAUUCAGUAGAUUUUUGGUAUUUAAUAGAUUAUAAUAAUCCAUACACUAGAAAUUUAGAUGCACUCUUAACCAACAAAUAUGACUUAAUAGCAACAUAAGGUGGAAGGACAUACCAUUUGUCAAGUUUGAGUCACAAAUAGGUAUUACUUAACACUUGAUUUUGAGAAAAUAUUUAAGGUGUUAAGGGUUAAAUGGAGAUUUGUUCCAAUUUUUGCAUCUACUAAAUAAGGCUAAUCAACUAUUUAUUGAACACAUAGUAUAUGUUAUGUGUGUUUCAUUGGGUUGUUGGGAAGAAAAAAUGAGACCAGGCAUUUUCUCAUCCUAUGUAAAUUUAAAAAAAAAAUAAAAGAAAAGAAAGUGUAAAAGGGAAAAAAAACUGAAGAAAAAGUGGCUAAAUACACAAUGACAUAGUAACCUUAAAACAAACAAAUAAACUAGUAAGUAAUCUAGAAUUUUGAUGAAGAUUUGUACGUUGUAUGUGUUUGCUCAAAAAAAAAAAAGCGUUUUUUCACCCCAUAAUCUUGCUGUUCUUUCAGUGCGAUUUAUAUUCAUGAUCUGGUAUAAAUGACAGGAUGGAUCAUAGAUUAUUUUGCAGCUCAGAUGCUUUAGAUGUUAUAAAAGAACUGCUUAUUGCUUUCAAGUAUUGUCACUUUUAUUAGAGCCUGAACUCUGAAGGGAGAGAAGUUGGACUCUACUUCUGACUCUGACAAUUACUAUCUUUUUACCUUGGGUAAUUUGCAAAACUCACUAAGCCUAAGUUUCAUUAUCUAUAAGUAGAAUGUAGAGAUGGCAUUGGCAUCCAAAUGCUAUUGUGAAUAUUUGUUGUAAUAAUGCAUGUAAAGCACUUGCAAGGGAUCUAGCACAUAGUGAAACACAGUAUUUUUCUGAGGUCAUGAUCAUGCAUGAUUACUUUAUAUAAAGAAAUGGUGAUAUUAAGAGUUCCGUGCAAUUUUAUUUAGGUUCCACAGUUAAUCGCCGGGGACAAUUUAAGAAUUAUUUAGACCUAUUUACUUCUUACAAAUGGUUUUAAAAUUUAACACAAUCUUUUCAAAAGCAGCACAAACAUUCUUAAAAUGUUAUUCCAUGUAGAUGGACCACUUGUCUGGUUGAAGUGGAGAUGGGGAACAGUCUUACUUUGCACAGUGGUUCUCUUAUGACAAAACUAAUGGUUUAGUGAAGUCCAGUUUAAAAACUACUACAUGGGCCGGGCAUGGUGGCUCAUGCCUAUAAUCCAGCGCUUUGGGAGGCUGAGGUGAGUAGAUUACUUGAGCUCAGAAGUUCAAGACCAGCCUGGGCAAUAUGGUAAAACCCUGUCUACAAAAAAUACAAAAAUUAGCCUGGUGUGGUGGCGUGCAUCUGUAGUCCCAGCUACUUGGAAGACUGAGGUGGGAGGGUCACUUGAGCUGAAGAGGUCGAGGCUGCAGUAAGCAGAGAUGGCACCACUGCAUUCCAGCCUGGGCAACAGAGUGAGACUCUGCCUCAAAAAAAAGGUAAUGUAUCAACACUGGCUCUUCAAUUUGAUCAAAUGUACCAUACUACUGUUAAUAAUGCAAAAUGUUAAUAGUAGGGGAAAACUGCAGCGGUUGCCAUGGGCUGAGAUAGCGUCAUUGCACUUCAGGCUGGGUGACAGAGUGAGAUUCCAUUUCAAAAAUCAAAAACAAAAACAAACAAACCAAACUAUUACACUAGGCUCUUAUUUCUCUGUUUGUAGCUCUAUUUCUUUCUAGUCCUGCUUUUCCAAGUGUUUUAAGCAUUUUGAACCAUGUAUUAUUUUAAAUGUCCUCUGCCCUUCCUUGCUACCUAUCAGUGUUUAUGCUACUAUCUCUACCUGCAUAAACCUAACCUGUGGUUUUCCUUUUCAGUUAUAAACCUCAUUGCACCAGCCUGGAGCUGAAAGGAUGUCAGGGGAACAUGUUUUAAGAAAAGAACCUUAAAAUGCAUUAGCUUCCUAUUACAAAUCUUUUAUCCCAAUUAAAAAAUGGAAUCAAACAUGUUUCACCUUAAUUGCUUAAGCAGCCUGAGCUACAUGUUCAUUGCAUAGUUUCAAGUUGUGUAAUUUGGGGUCUCUCCAAACACAUUCUAGGGAAGUUGGUAAAGGCACUACCAGCUGGUGAACACAGAUGCUAUUUCAUUAACAUAGUUAGCCAAAUCUUGACGAAUCCUAAUUUAUAUUUGCUUGAACCAGGAAGUCUAAUCUUUUUAAGUUCAUUUUUCCAGACUUUCAGAAAUCCCCAGUGAUGUUUACACAUUCAUGAAAUGUGCCUAGUUAUAGGUCUUAUUUCAGUAAGUCCAGUCCAAACACCACAGACCUUAGAGUUGUUCCCUAAUACUUAUGUUCCACCCUCAUGCUUGACCACUGCUGUCACUAAUGAGGCUAGACAUCCUUCAUAUUUAACAUGGGCAGCUUGAAGCCUGCUUCUGCACCUAUAGAGUAUAAAUGAGAAUGUCCCAUGUAUACCUGGUUAGAGAGAGGAGCUGAAAGUUCGCUUUAACAAGGAAGUGCUAGAGUAGUUGUAAAGCUGCUUUAAUUACAAAAAUCAAGUUAUAAGAAUAAAAUAGACACCACAUUACCUCAAAAGCACAGGCAACAAAUGCAAAAAUAAACAAAUGAGGUUAUAUUAAAUGAAAAAAAUUCUGCACAGCAAAUCAAGCAAGCAACAAAGUGAAAAUACAACCUAAAGAAUGGGAGAAAAUAUUAGUAAAAUAUUCAUCUGACAAGGGAUUAAUAUCCAGAAUAUACAAGGAACUCAAACAUCUCAACAACAAAAAAUACCAAGCAAUCCAAUUAACUAAUGGGCAAAGGAUCUGAAGAGAUAGUUCUCAAAAGACAUACAAAUAUCUGGUAAAUAUAUGAAAAACAUGCUGUUAUUUUCAACUUUUAUGUUGUAUCUCUUAUAACUAAUAUAUUGUUGGAAUUUUAAAAUAUGGCAUAUAUUUUUGUUUUGUUAAAUGGGAUGUUUAGUGCAUAUAGAUGAUGAAAUUACUAGUGCUUCAAAUUGUUCUGUCUUUUUUAUCCUUUCUUGCCUUUUUAGGAUUAUGUUUGAUUAUUCUAUUCUUCCCCUUUAGUACUUUGAAAGUUGGACAUUAUGUUUCCUUUUAGUCACUUCCCUAGAAAUUAUAAUGUGAAUAAUUAACAUAACAGAAGUUAAUGUCAAAAGAUAUCUUUACCUCUUUCCUAAGCAAUACAAAGCUUAAAAUACUUUAAGCCCAUUACUCUUCUCUUGUUUUAUAUUAUUUUGCUAUGCAUCUUAAUUUUAUUUUUAUCCUCAAUAAUACAUUAUGAUUA
Molecule: long non-coding RNA, 5578 nt
Organism: Callithrix jacchus (white-tufted-ear marmoset)
Lineage: Eukaryota; Metazoa; Chordata; Mammalia; Primates; Cebidae
Source: Ensembl